UACGAAGGGGGCUAGCGUUGCUCGGAAUCACUGGGCGUAAAGGGCGCGUAGGCGGCCAUGUAAGUUGGGGGUGAAAGCCCGUGGCUCAACCACGGAAUUGCCUUCGAUACUGCUUGGCUUGAGACCGGAAGAGGUGAGUGGAACUGCGAGUGUAGAGGUGAAAUUCGUAGAUAUUCGCAAGAACACCAGUGGCGAAGGCGGCUCACUGGUCCGGAUCUGACGCUGAGGCGCGAAAGCGUGGGGAGCAAACAGG
Molecule: ribosomal RNA, 253 nt
Filed under: uncultured bacterium
Lineage: Bacteria
Description: partial 16S ribosomal RNA
Rfam family: Bacterial small subunit ribosomal RNA
Source: RNAcentral